AAAAACAAAAAAUUAAACAUUAAACUUAGUAAAUGUAAACUAUAAAUACAAAGAAUAAACAUACAAAUAAUCUAUUUAAGAAAAAUUAUCACAUUCCAAUGAGUACAUCUCCAAAAUCGCCGUUUAGAGUUUUCAUCAGUGUUAGAAAUGAAUAUACACAUUGCUUUCCUAUACCUACAUUCAAACAAUUUAAAACGAGUUGAGUUUGUUGCAGACGACGAUGAUGCCAUAGUUGAAUGAUGCAGAAGUAGGUGAAGAUUCGAACGAGCAUCUGAUCCCCACAACCCUCACACACAACAUAAACAACAAAUAAAUAAACCCAUUCACAAAAGAAGAAAAAGACAACAAAAUGAAAUAAUAUAUCACACAUAAACAUAUGAAACAAACAAAUAAACCUUAAAAGAAGAAACAAAAACCCCACCAUUCCCUACAAACAGAAAAGGAAGGACAAAAAUGGUAUCAAAAUCAUACCUUCAGCCUCUCCUUCGCAAUUUUAUUUCCUUCUGUCGUGUUUCGAAGAUGGUGAUUCGAUGUUGGUUAUCUGGUAAAGGUGAUGCGAUGAUAG
RNAcentral lists this long non-coding RNA (565 nucleotides) under Cicer arietinum (chickpea). RNAcentral's name for it is "long non-coding RNA (CARI_LNC003008)". The record is from RNAcentral. Lineage: Eukaryota; Viridiplantae; Streptophyta; Magnoliopsida; Fabales; Fabaceae.